UCCGUUAUGGUGUAAUGGUUAACAUUAUCGCCUCUCAUUCUUUGAGACCUGCGGGCGCGAUAGCUCAGGGUUCGAUUCCCUGUAACGGAA
Molecule: non-coding RNA, 90 nt
Organism: Marasmius fiardii PR-910
Lineage: Eukaryota; Fungi; Basidiomycota; Agaricomycetes; Agaricales; Marasmiaceae
Source: the annotation of a GenBank genome assembly